CAGGAUGAGACAGCUUCUGCAACUGUGAGGAAGAUUUUUUCCUCACCGAUCAAGUUUGCAAACGUGGAAGCGUGGAGCUUGUCAAUCACCACAGGCCCAGGAUUUGCAAGAAUGAGCUGAGAAACAACAUGGGAACUUCUGCAUGGGUUAUAUACACAAAAAAGGUGGACAGGAUCACAGAUACCAAUGGAGCAAUUGCAGGUACCCAGAAGAACUUCUUGUUCUUUUUUCCCUGCUCAGCAGAACAUGAGAGAAUCAGAGAAAUAAUUCACAGCCUUAAACAGUUUAGGUAAAUAGUGCUAGUGAUUAGGAGCUCUUACUAUGUAUUUAGCGAAUAGAAGAAAACUCAAAAAGGUGCCUCCAAUAAGUAUAGUCUGCCAGUUCCACUGCAAAA
Carya illinoinensis is the source of this 394-nucleotide long non-coding RNA. RefSeq lists it as uncharacterized. The record is from RefSeq and is a predicted model, not a curated record. Lineage: Eukaryota; Viridiplantae; Streptophyta; Magnoliopsida; Fagales; Juglandaceae. The transcript is spliced from 2 exons.